GGAAUCUCAAUUACAGUGCAUUGACAAAAUAGCCCUUCUGAUUUGCAGUUGCAAUUUAAAUCCUGGCAAGUGACAGGACACUGAAAGUAGUUGAUCUUAUGCUAUGGACCAAAGCGUACGAUUUACAGCUGCAAACUCCCACAAUAACAGUUUUGAUGAUAAACUUGCAAUUUCAGGUUAAAAAAAAAAAGACAAAAGCUUCAGAUACAUGGAUAGAAAUUACAAAGGACCUCUAUUGAAGGGUCAAAUCCAAAUACAAUGCCCAUUUCAUUUAGAUUUGUUAUGAAGACGAAGAGCAGCAAGCAUAACCAGCAAGAUAAAAGCUAUUGAACCAAGCAAAGAGAGGACAAUGGCAACUGCUACUUGAUCGCAGAAUUUCCCAAACACGUUGCACGCUUUGCCCCAUCUCAACCGUGAAUUCCCUUCGUAACCCAUAAGUCCAAUAGCUCCCGUUGCUCCGAUGCCGGAAAAUAGCAAAGGCACCAUCAAUAGGUCAAGAAUUAAGGUAACAAGCACCAAACUUUUCUUUCUGUUAAAUGAAAGUAGUAGAGAGAGUGCUGCAUAUGUGCAUGCUAUGGCAUUUGAUACCACAAAGAACACAAAGGCAGACAGAUAAUGCCACUUAGCAACAACAGGAAUAUUUAAAGGUGGCAAGGAAUCCACAAUCUUAAUUGGAAUAACUUUGUUCUGCUUAUCAACCCCAAGAACUAUUGCAGCAACUAAAGUUAGAAGCAAAGCCAUAACUCUUAGUAGAAAGAAACUGGUCCCCCCUCCUCCUUCCUUUGCCUCUUUGUCCUUUACACCAUCCAUGCCUCCAUGACUGACGUAGUUUUGGCUAUCCAUGAUCACAGAAACCCAAAAAACCAAGUCUUGAGAACAGAGAGAGAGAGAGAGGGGUAUGGAAGAGAUGGAGGAAUAGAGAGUUGAGAGAAAAGGAGUGGCCUUAAAUAGAGAGGCAAGAACAAUGUUCAAGCAAGAAAAUGUGAAAGGUAAUUAAAUUUUUCUUGCUAUGACUAUAAUAAAUUGCGUCAAAACUCUGAAACUUUUAAAGCAAAGGAGGCGAGCAGUGUGAAUGAUGUUGAGAGAAAGGCAUUGAAGUUUGAUGUUGCGUGAUAAUAAUACAAAAGCCAUCCAUUUUUCUGAGGCACUUGCCACUUGCCAAGAGCAGAAAUGCG
RNAcentral lists this unclassified non-coding RNA (1175 nucleotides) under Hevea brasiliensis (rubber tree). Lineage: Eukaryota; Viridiplantae; Streptophyta; Magnoliopsida; Malpighiales; Euphorbiaceae. The record is from RNAcentral.